AACGAACGCUGGCGGCAGGCCUAACACAUGCAAGUCGAGCGAGGACUUCGGUUCUAGCGGCGGACGGGUGAGUAACGCGUGGGAAUGUGCCCUUCUCUACGGAAUAGCCCUGGGAAACUGGGAGUAAUACCAUAUACGCCCUUUUGGGGAAAGAUUUAUCGGAGAAGGAUCAGCCCGCGUUGGAUUAGGUAGUUGGUGGGGUAAUGGCCUACCAAGCCGACGAUCCAUAGCUGGUUUGAGAGGAUGAUCAGCCACACUGGGACUGAGACACGGCCCAGACUCCUACGGGAGGCAGCAGUGGGGAAUCUUAGACAAUGGGGGCAACCCUGAUCUAGCCAUGCCGCGUGAGUGAUGAAGGCCUUAGGGUUGUAAAGCUCUUUCAGCUGGGAAGAUAAUGACGGUACCAGCAGAAGAAGCCCCGGCUAACUCCGUG
RNAcentral lists this ribosomal RNA (433 nucleotides) under uncultured bacterium. RNAcentral describes it as "partial 16S ribosomal RNA". It matches the Rfam family "Bacterial small subunit ribosomal RNA", at positions 29 to 507 of the family's 1533-position model. The record is from RNAcentral.